UGUCACCAAGGCGGUAGUGCAGUGGCGUGAUCUCGGCUCACUGCUGAUACGGCUCCCAUGAGUGGAGGGACACCAGGGCUCUUGUCUUACCUUGAAUUAGGUAAAACAACACUGACACACGUGGAGUGGUUUUAAAGAGCGGAGAGUUUAAUAGGCAAGAAAGAAGGCAGAACUUAGAGGCUUCCCCUUACAGAGACAGAGGGAGGGGGGCUCCAAAGCCGAAAGAGGAGGGCCCCAAGUGUGGUGGACGCCAGCCAGGUAUACAUGCAGAGGCCGGAGGAGGCGAUCUGAUUUGCACAGGGCUUAGCGGAUUGGUUUGACCAGGCAUGUUUUAUUCACGUAGCAGGGAAAAAGCUGGCCCUCCCUUCCUAGCCUUUUAAUAUGCAAAUGCAGGGCGCUGUGACGUUCUACGCAUGUGGGGAUAUGUGGCGGACGUUGCCAGGAACAUGUGGGGCAAGGGCAAGAAGGCAGCAGUAACCGCCAUGUUUGGGAAAAGCUCCAGAAACUCCCCUAGCAAGGCUGGAUCUCUCCAAGCUUCAGAAAGAGGAAGACAACUGAACAGGCAGGGCUCGCAUCUUCUUUAGAGGCGGUGGAGUUGGGGGACAGCUGGUAACAGGAUAGAUAGCAACAACCACCUUGAAGAUAAUGCACGAAGUGUCGGCACUGCACAGUACAUGAAUGAUCUCACUUAACUCCCGUGCAAACCCUAUGCCAUGGCUGCUAUUAUCAUUCACGUUUACAGGAUGAGGAAACUAAUGCUCAUGCAGGGAGCCUGGCCCUUGGACAGCCACCAUACUCUGCAGAAGCCCAGGCUGCGUGGAGAGGCUGACGCUGGUGUCUGGCCAACUGUCCCUGCUGGGCCUUCAGCCUGUAGUCAGCAUCAACAGUCAGGCGUGUGAGUGAAUGAGUCUUCAGAUAAUGCCAGCCCCAGCCUUUGCUUCUUCCAGCCAUGACCCCAGACAUAGUGGAGCAAGGACAAGCCAUCCUCACUGUGAUGUGCCCUGUCUGAAUUUAUGAGCCAUGGAAACUGUGAGAGGUAAAUUAUUAUUGUUUUAAGCUACUAAGUGUUGAGGCAAUUUGUUAGGCAGCAAAUAGACAACUAAUACAAAGCCAUUUCCAACCUCUUGAGUGAAUGACUGGAGCACAGUUUUCUCAUUUAUUGACUAUUCUGCUAGAUGGAAAGCAAAUUAUAGACUCCUGUCCAAUGCUUGACAUUCCUGGGCCUAGGACCCUGCUUGUCUACACCCACUAAGACCUGGAGUAUCAGGGACCUGCCUUGGUUUCAAUGGAGGCUUGCCUGGACCCUUCAGAUCGGAGCUCCAUUUGUCAUCCUGCUUCUUUCUGGCUGCUAGAGUUGCUUCUCUUCUUCCUCAGCUCCCUGGUACUCAUGGUAGAUGGUGACUGAGCAGAACAAUGGGAGCCGAUACCUUGGUUUAUUCAUCUCUGCUGCAUACCAUUUGCUAUGGUCUGAAUGUUAGUGUCUACCUACAAAUGUAUUUGUUGAAAUCCUAACACCCCAGAUGAUGGUAUUAGGAGGUGGGGCCAUUGGGAGGUGAUUAGGUCAUGAGCCUUCAUGAAUGAGAUUGAUGCCCUUACAAAAGAGACCCAGGGGAGCUCUUUCACCCCUUCUGCCAUGUGAGGACACAGUGAGAACACCAUCUGCAACCCAGAAGAAGCUCUCGCCAGAAUCUGACCAUGCUGGCACCCUGAUCUCAGGCUUCCCAGCCUUCAGAAUUGUGAGAAAUAAAUUCCUGCUAUUUGUAAGCCAUCCAGUUUAUGGUAUUUUGUUAUAGCAGCAUGAACUGGCUAAGACUCCAUUGCAGCAGGAACUCAGUGAGGGCAUGUGUGGACCUCCAAGCCUUGCUUGUAGGUCCCAGGCAGAAAGCACCCUGCAAUAGUUACAGGAGAUGUCAAUGUUCCCCAAGUCCCUGCUGUAAGGUUAUGAAUUCAGCAUAUCAGCCCCAAUUGCUAUCUAUGCUGCCAUAUGCUCCUUUGAGAGUGGUGAAGGAGACCUGCCCAGAAAUGCUCUCCCACGUGGCUCUGGGACUGCCAGCUCCCCUUUGGGUGGGACCUUGCAGAUGCUCAUGUGGGCAGCAGCAUCUCUGCUCUGGAGCCUGUUCAGCCUUGUGUUAUUUCUGGGGCAUGUUCUAACCCUUUCCCAAACAUGUUCUCUGUUCCCUAGCACAGGACUCGCUGCUAGUCCUUCUAAUUUCCAGCGGAAAGCAGUCUGUUUUGACGCUUCCCAGGUGUUCAGUCCCAUAGGAGCAGCUGAGUCCUCAAGGCAGCAGCCGGUAGGCAGGCAGUUUGCCGUCCUUGAACCAGCCUGACCAUCUGACUGUGCUACUGCAAGGGAGUGUUAGAGACUUUCUCAAUUUGGUGACUCAUACUCAUCCUCCACUUGGAACAUCCAGUUCUGAACCUUGCCGUCUCCCAGAAAUUGUCAUUCUAGCCUCAGCCUCAUCUCUACAAUGUCCUUUUGGCUUCCCAGUGAUGUUCCAGGAAACUUGUUCAUGCCGGGUCAUCUGUCUCCCGUUUCAGGCAGCCAGCAUGGAAAUGGAAUUUUGGCUCCCAUCCAGGGGGAUGAUUUUAAUUCAGGAUGCAACUGGGCGCUGCCCUUUGACUUCAAAGCCACCCACGUGGUACAGAUAUAGAGUGGUAUAAGGAUUAAUGAAAUACGGUGUAUCGUUCUACUUCAUUUAAUGGCUGCAUCAUGUACCAUGUAUGUACCAUAAUUUGUUUAACUAAUCCCCUAUUGAAGAACAUUAAGGUAAUUAUUAUUGUUAUUAGAUGAGCAGCUGAACCUUGGAAACACACUCUUAAAUGCUUUCCUUCUGAGGAAAAUGAAGGAGCUGGCUGUUUCUUAUCAAGAGGAUCAUGCCCCUUGGAGAUGAUUAUGCCCCAGCCUGAGACACGCUGAUAUCCUCACAGGCUGUUCCCAAUGGGAGGGGGCCACUCAGGGGCACUGGGGUGGGAAAAGAUUGGCUGUCGCCACACCCUUUAAGGAAUGGAUUUUCCAACCAAGGACAGUGAAGGGCAAGCCUCUAAAAUGUCCACUAAUGAAAGAGUAACUACAAUGUUCUUGUAUGCUGCUCUGAUUAUCAUCAUCCCCAGAGCCUUCCUGUACCCUGCCAUGGACUGUGUCUUCCUGGAAGUGCUUGUGGUUUGAUGUUGCCUCCUUGCAGAUGUUCAGAAAGGACUGCUUGCUGGAAAGGAGAGAAGCUGAGAGAUGACCACAUUCCUCCUGGAUUAAUAUGGGCUCCGGUGGCUCCUCCCUGUGAUGUGCCGUGCUCCGUGCCUUGGGACCUUACUAUGUCAUCAAAGGCAGCCACAUUUAUGCAGACAUAAGGGAAGCCAGAAUCUACAAGAACCGUCCCUCCAGGAGGGAAACACUCCACUGAACAGUGUCAAAUGGACCUCUUCAGAACCUGGACUCGAUGGGGGACCACAGAGAGACAGCCAUGGAAGCAGAGGGCAGCUGCCAGCAACUAUUGCUGCCAUGUGCCAAACACGGUUCUUAACAUCUCACGCCUCAACUCUCUUUAAUCUCAUAACAACCCUAUGAGGUAGGUGCUGUUGUCCCCAUUUUGCAGAUGAAGAGGCUGAGGCACAGGAAGAUUAGACACCCAUCCCAAAGCAAGAACCCGAUGGUGCUGGAUGUGAACCCAGGCACUGUGACUCAGGCUCCUACCACUGCACUGAGUGUCUUUCAAUGUAGUUGAAGUAGAGGUGGUCACAGCAGAGAGCAGUCAAGAGGAGACAGAAACUGAGAGAUGGAUACAGAGCUUUGUGAUCAGCAGGGGACUAAGGACAUCCAUUUCUGAGGGGACAACAAAGUGACCAGGCCACCAUAAUAACCCUGAAGGACAAGAAUUUUGUUCCUGUGCACCGGUGGGUAGUGGGACAUCUGAAUGGAUGGCUUCCCAAGCUCUGCAGCCUCAGGUAACAGGAGCCAGUCUUUGUUUCCUGUGGCUUGGAAGAGCCUAACUUGUUUUAUUGUUAAUUGUGCAGAUAAUCAUUGAGUUAAAUGGUCACAGAGAAAGAAAAAAAAAGGGAUGCCCAGGCGUGGUGGCUCACGCCUAUAAUCCCAGCACUUUG
Molecule: long non-coding RNA, 4095 nt
Filed under: Homo sapiens (human)
Lineage: Eukaryota; Metazoa; Chordata; Mammalia; Primates; Hominidae
Description: HSALNT0301492
Source: RNAcentral